UCAGUCCACACCAGACUAGUGUGCUUUAAAGAGAGAGAGAGAGCGAGAGAAAGCCACAUACACUCCCACAGUUGUGUGUCGUUGGGCCCCGGGCUGUGUCUCCAGGAAUGACAUCGGACUGGUUUGAGAGCGGCAGACGCAGUCCUGAAGGACACACACCAUGAGUUCUCACAUGAACAAGGAAUCGAACCAACAACCUUCUGUUUUCCAACCCAAAGCUUUGACCGCUACUUCACACCUAGACGAGUUCAAGCUGGAUAUUUCCAGACUGCUUUCAGGGAAAUCUGACCUAAUGUCCUGUCUACGAAUGACAAGAUUGAUUCCCACCUACUCUCCCGAUAAUAAAUAGCAGCCCAGAUUUCUCAGCUUGCAUUACAUUUCAGUCGACACGCAGUAUUACAGACAGAAAACUCUUUGAGUAAAUCCACUUGUGCAUUGGUCUUCUAAUCCAUCCAUGGCUCUUCAGAUCGUCGCUUAUAUUCUGUCCGUUACUGGAUUAUGUGGCCUUAUUAUAGGCACAUUUACAAAUGAAUGGAAAAUCCUAGGACAUGACAACGACAAGACUGUUUCUCAGGAAAAAUACGAAGGACUGUGGAUGCAGUGCUCGGUAGACAGGUCGUCUGUUGCGGUCUGCACAAACUACAAUUCUCUCCUUCAUCAAACCUGUGAGUAUCUGUCCAGUGGUUUGUGGAUCCAUCUGUCGUCUGACUUCUGUUCUAACCGCUGCUGUGUGUCGUUGCAGAUGAAAUCCAGUUGGGCCGAGCAAUGAUGAUCGUCAGCAUCGUCUUUUCAAGCCUUGCAGCACUGGUGGCCAUUCCUGGUCUCAAGUCCACGAGAUGUAUAGAAGAGAACGAGAAGCUGAAAGAUAGAGCUGCUUUCUUAGGGGGAAUCCUUUCUGUGUGUGGUGGUAUGUUUGCGUUGGGCAUAACCAGCUGGUUUAUAUAUGAAAUUGUUGAUGCUUUCUUCCAGGAUGAGACACAGACGGAUAGGUAUGUGGUCGGCAGAUCUCUGAUUGGUGCAUUUGUCGCAUCUGUGCUUUGUUUAUUUGGAGGCAUCCUCUUAUGCGCCUGCAGCGUGACGCAUCUACAAUCCAACAAAAUUCUCAGCAAGCGUCCGGUCUCCAUAAAUCCUGGAAAAGAAUAUGUUUAAUGAUCGUGAGACCUUCUGAAUACCACCUGAACUCUCGUUAACUGCUGCAUUUUUGCAUAUA
Molecule: RNA transcript, 1210 nt
Organism: Carassius auratus (goldfish)
Lineage: Eukaryota; Metazoa; Chordata; Actinopteri; Cypriniformes; Cyprinidae
Gene name: claudin-1-like
Exons: 4
Source: RefSeq, a predicted model, not a curated record